This 445-nucleotide ribosomal RNA is filed under the name uncultured organism. RNAcentral describes it as "bacterial SSU rRNA". It matches the Rfam family "Bacterial small subunit ribosomal RNA", at positions 28 to 507 of the family's 1533-position model. The record is from RNAcentral.
GAUGAACGCUGGCGGCAUGCCUAACACAUGCAAGUCGAGCGGCAGCGCAGUCUUCGGACGGGCGGCGAGCGGCGGACGGCUGAGUAACGCGUGGGAAUCUACCCCAAAGUGAGGGAUAACGCACCGAAAGGUGUGCUAAUACCGCAUACGGUCUUCGGAUUAAAGUUUUAACGCUCUGGGAAGAGCCCGCGUACUAUUAGAUAGUUGGUGAGGUAAAGGCUCACCAAGUCGACGAUGGUUAACUGGUCUGAGAGGAUGAUCAGUCAGAUUGGAACUGAGACACGGUCCAAACUCCUACGGGAGGCAGCAGUGAGGAAUAUUCCGCAAUGGGGGAAACCCUGACGGAGCAAUGCCGCGUGCAGGAUGAAGGCCCUCGGGUCGUAAACUGCUUUUAUAUGAGAAGAAUAUGACGGUAACAUAUGAAUAAGGGACGGCUAACUACGUG